GAUGAAAAACGUAGCGAAAUGCGAUAAGUAAUGUGAAUUGCAGAAUUCAGUGAAUCAUCGAAUCUUUGAACGCACAUUGCGCCCGCCAGUAUUCUGGCGGGCAUGCCUGUUCGAGCGUCAUUUCAACCCUCAAGCUCAGCUUGGUGUUGGGACUCGCGGUAACCCGCGUUCCCCAAAUCGAUUGGCGGUCACGUCGAGCUUCCAUAGCGUAGUAAUCAUACACCUCGUUACUGGUAAUCGUCGCGGCCACGCCGUAAAACCCCAACUUCUGAAUGUUGACCUCGGAUCAGGUAGGAAUACCCGCUGAACUUAAGCAUAUCAAUAAGCGGAGGA
Molecule: unclassified non-coding RNA, 333 nt
Filed under: soil metagenome
Description: partial contains 5.8S ribosomal RNA, internal transcribed spacer 2, and large subunit ribosomal RNA
Rfam family: 5.8S ribosomal RNA (bases 1-120)
Source: RNAcentral